GGUUCCCUCCUUGCGAUCUGCAUCUUCUCUGCGGCGCCUCAGCUACAAGGAUGGCGAGUACAUCGCAUACACAACGGUGUGAGCUACAACGCAACACCUCGAAGCCAUAGCUGGGAAGCAAGACAAGUACUCCUAUUCCAGUCAAGUGCAGCCACUUUUGAUGUUCUACGACUACCAAUGGGGGUUCUAUCUGGUUGAGCUCCUCCCGUCAAGAAGCCUCAAUGCCUCGUCCAUGAGACAAGCAAGGCAGGCAGGCAGAGAAGCUGUUAGCUGCUGCUGGUUUUGUGGUUUUUUUUGCAAGGCAAUGUGUCCAGUAUCUGGAAUCAUCUAACUGUUUUUGGGUGAGCCUGUAGAUUAUCUACAGGACAAUGAGCUGCUCUUGAAUGGUGCAGUAAUUUAUGGGAUUGUACAGUGUAUUUGAUGCCCUUGACAGUGCAUCCUUCGAUGACUGAUGGGGGGGGGGGGGGGGGUAGUGAGGAGGGGGAAGUGACUCUUUUAUGGCGUUCUCUGCUGUCAUCCUCUCUAGUCUGCAAGAUAAUUGCGCUUGAUCUUUAACGUUGCAAUGCAAUUUAGCCUGUGAUGAACUGUCCAAAUCCAUAUACACGCGGCCACACGCCGCGCACAACCCCGCAAGCCAGCAUGGUUUAAGCAAAAUUCUAUUAAACACAAAUUAGUACCGCUGAUUAAAAAUAGCCCCUUCAUUUCAUUUCAUUUUAAAGGCUAAUCUCAUAACGUAGUAUAUACAUAACUGAAAGUUUAUUACUAUCAAGUGGCAAUAAACUUCAAAUGGAGAAACUUGUAAAUAUUACUGGAUAUCAUUGGGCUGUUCAGCGAGAAAAGCAUUCUCCAUUUGAAGCUUCCAUGAUCACAAACAUCAUAUAAACAAUCAAAAUCUUGUUAAAAGUUUUUCUCCUCUUUAAUUAAAUUGACCAAGUUUCCAAGUAUAAAACGGUGAACUACAUUACAGAAGUAGACAUGUGUAACUAACUUUAAAAAAACAGUGAAUUACUCACGUUAUAUGGUCAUGCACAGCAACGAACAUGUGCAAGCAUUGGGUCCAGGCAUACAUAUAAGUUUCACACAAUUACAUGGCACAUUAUAUUAAACUACAUGCUCCCAUUGAUUUUGACGAGCCACAUUAUAUCAUUGGGCAUCCCUGAUUGCGAUCUGCAUCUUCUCUGCGGCGCCUCAGUUACAACGAUGGCGAGUACGGAUGACAGUGUCCCUCUAACUUUUAAGUUGGAGGAGCUCCUUCCUGGCGAGUACAUCGCAUACACAACGGUGUGAGCUGCAAUACAACACCUCGAAGCCAUAGCUGGGAAGCAAGACAAGUACUAUUCGUGUCAAGUGUAGCCACUUUUGAUGUUCUACGACUACAAAUGGGGCCAUGGGGGUCCUAUCUGGUUGAGCCCCUCCCAUCAAUUAGCCUCAAUGCCUCGUCCAUCAGACAAGGCAUGCAGGCAGAGAAGCUGUUAGCUGCUGCUGGUUUAGUGGUUUUCUG
Molecule: long non-coding RNA, 1501 nt
Filed under: Oryza sativa (Asian cultivated rice)
Lineage: Eukaryota; Viridiplantae; Streptophyta; Magnoliopsida; Poales; Poaceae
Description: long non-coding RNA (OSAT_LNC000224)
Source: RNAcentral